UACGAGUGCCUCAAGCGUUAUCCGGAAUCACUGGGCGUAAAGGGUGUGUAGGCGGUUUUGUUAGUCCAUGGUCAAAUUCUUCGGCUUAACCGGGGGUCCGCCAUGGAAACGGCAAAACUUUGAGGGUGCGAGAGGUGAAUGGAACUCAUGGUGUAGGGGUGAAAUCCGUUGAUAUCAUGGGGAACACCAAAAGCGAAGGCAAUUCACUGGCGCAUUCCUGACGCUGAGACACGAAAGCGUGGGUAGCGAAUGGG
Molecule: ribosomal RNA, 254 nt
Filed under: uncultured bacterium
Lineage: Bacteria
Description: partial 16S ribosomal RNA
Rfam family: Bacterial small subunit ribosomal RNA
Source: RNAcentral